GCUGAGGUAAACAGUGUUGACAGCUGAGAACUAAACAGACCAGACCAGACCAGACUACCAGACACACCACAGCUCGCUGCUCGCUCUUCUUCACACACCGCAGUCUGACCAUGCUAUAUAAGUUCGGAGGGGGACUAUGUUCGUGAUUCAGAUGCAGCCAGAAAUCAGUUCAGAGGGAACUCUGCCUCUCCUGCUCGUCCUCGUCCACGCUCUUGGGGAGAAGUUCCUGGUUCCUGGGUACAGCUGACAAACGCCUACAAGCAGACAUGAACAGGGAGAAGAUGGUCUGCAGCAUCCUGCUGCUCAUCAUCCUGACCUCCUGUGUCUCUGGAACAUUUGUAGUGAAUGUGACCCAGACCUCCUA
Molecule: long non-coding RNA, 364 nt
Organism: Etheostoma cragini (Arkansas darter)
Lineage: Eukaryota; Metazoa; Chordata; Actinopteri; Perciformes; Percidae
Exons: 4
Source: RefSeq, a predicted model, not a curated record